UACGUAGGGUGCGAGCGUUGUCCGGAAUUAUUGGGCGUAAAGGGCUCGUAGGCGGUCUGUUGCGUCAGGAGUGAAAACUCGGGGCUUAACCCCGAGCCUGCUUCUGAUACGGGCAGACUAGAGGUAUGCAGGGGAGAACGGAAUUCCUGGUGUAGCGGUGAAAUGCGUAGAUAUCAAGAGGAACACCUGAGGCGAAGGCGGGUUGCUAGGCUGACACUGACGCUGAGGCGCGAAAGCCAGGGGAGCAAACGGG
RNAcentral lists this ribosomal RNA (253 nucleotides) under uncultured bacterium. RNAcentral describes it as "partial 16S ribosomal RNA". It matches the Rfam family "Bacterial small subunit ribosomal RNA", at positions 524 to 776 of the family's 1533-position model. The record is from RNAcentral.